CGUAGGUGGCAAGCGUUGUCCGGAUUUACUGGGCGUAAAGCGUAUGCAGGCGGAUACUUAAGUAGGAAGUGAAAGGUGGGAGCUCAACUCCCACAUUGCUCCCUAUACUGGGUGUCUUGAGUGGCGGAGAGGGAGAUGGAACGACACGUGUAGCGGUGAAAUGCGUUGAUAUGUGUCGGAACACCAAUGGCGAAAGCAAUCUCCUGGACGCAAACUGACGCUGAGAUACGAAAGCCAAGGUAGCAAACAGGAUUAGAUACUCUGGUAGUCUUGGCCAUAAACGAUGUUCACUAGGUGUUGGGGCUUUGCCUCGGUGCCGCAGCUAACGCAUUAAGUGAACCGCCUGGGAACUACGAUCGCAAGAUUA
This 367-nucleotide ribosomal RNA is filed under the name uncultured organism. RNAcentral's name for it is "bacterial SSU rRNA". It matches the Rfam family "Bacterial small subunit ribosomal RNA", at positions 526 to 896 of the family's 1533-position model. The record is from RNAcentral.